CCCCCCCAGCAGGUAGAGGGGACACUGGUGCAGGGAGCAGAGUGAGAGGGACAUUCGUUCUGCUGAUUAUUUUCUAUUUGUAUUGGUUUGUUUUCGUGUUCUUCGACCACUAAUCUUGGACUCAUUGCCUCCCCCUGCUGGUCUCUCUUUGUGGUUGUCCAUCGGUCUGCUUCCUGCCUUCUGGCCCUGCUCCCCGGUUCCUGGUUGGGUUGGUACUGCCCAGACUUGCUCGGCUAGUCAGUUUGUUCUGCCAUGUUCCUGCCUGCCUGCUUGCCCUAUUCCGGAUUUAUCUACGUUUUUACUUUGCCUGCCCCUGGACUGCUCUCCUGAACGGGGACCUGGCUUUCCUUUCUCUUUUGGCUUUUGUCAUCAGCGGCCUUGUGCCCUUUUUGUUUUCCCCAUUUCCUCCUGAGAAGUAGAUAAAUAUUUUUGAGCUUCUGCAUUUGCAUUUGGUUUCAGUUUUCGCAUUAACCUGGCAACUGUCCUGUACUGUAUUUUUGCAUCCACGUUUCUGAAAUCCAUAAAGAACGUGAUGGAUCCAUAAGGAGUCCAUAAAAAACGUGAUGGAUCCAUAAGGAGUCCAUAAAGAACGUGAUGGAUCCAUAAGGAGUCCAUAAAGAACGUGACGAAUCCAUAAGGAGUCCAUAAAGAACGUGAUGGAUCCAUAAGGAGUCCAUAAAGAACGUGACGGAUCCAUAAGGAGUCCAUAAAGAACGUGAUGAUCCAUAAGGAGUCCAUAAAGAACGUGAUGGAUCCAUAAGGAGUCCAUAAAGAACGUGAUGAUCCAUAAGGAGUCCAUAAAGGUCACGCAGUGCUCCUCUGCCUGCUCGUGGUCACGGUGCCUGGGUCUCCCACCCAUGGCCGUCAGUAUUGGUUCAUAGACUCACCACUAGGUCCAUGGCGGUCAGUAUUGGUUCAGGGCCUCACCACUAGAUCCAUGCCCGUCAGAAUUGGUUCAGGGCCCUCAGGCCUUCUGAGUUAUUCUGCUAUAGCACUCCGGAGCUCGCGCUAACCGUCUUCUCCCUGAGACCAGUCCGACCGCCGGCCGGGGCUACCCACAUGCUGCCUGACCCCCCUCCUCUGGGCCCUGCCAUUCAUAUUCAUAUUUGUUGCCCUCGGUCGCUGACAGAACCAUCUGAUCUUAAAGGGGACAGGUUAUACCACCAGUAAGUGUGAGUGUGAUUAGCCCUAGGGCUGCUCGAUUGUGGAAAGAAUCAUAAUCACGAUUAUUUUGGUCAAUAUUAAAACGAUUAUUUUUGAGUUUGAAAACAUGAUGUAUUUAUUCAGCAAGUCUCUCCCAAAAACACUUUGUAACUGAGGACUUUUAAAUUUUGCCUUGAAAAACGACACAAAA
Long non-coding RNA from Gadus macrocephalus (Pacific cod), 1354 nucleotides. RefSeq lists it as uncharacterized. The transcript has 2 exons. The record is from RefSeq and is a predicted model, not a curated record. NCBI's taxonomy places the organism in Eukaryota, Metazoa, Chordata, Actinopteri, Gadiformes, Gadidae.